This 860-nucleotide long non-coding RNA is filed under the name Brassica rapa (field mustard). RNAcentral describes it as "long non-coding RNA (BRAP_LNC001349)". Lineage: Eukaryota; Viridiplantae; Streptophyta; Magnoliopsida; Brassicales; Brassicaceae. The record is from RNAcentral.
GUUAGAUUCAUACCAUUUUUAAGAGUUUACAUGUUGCUUACGAACUUAUUUAGCGAAUACAAACGGUGAACCUAUGUUGCAUGGAAACUCGGUUGAAGGUACGUUUCACGUUUUGGAAACGUUUCGGAAUCGGAAUCUCUCGGAAACUCGCGGAAACGCAUUGGAAACUCGUUUCUUAAAAAACUCAAUUUGGAAACUUAGCGGAAAAUUGCGUUUCUAUUUUGGAAACUCGCAUUUCUGUUCUGGAAACGCUAGAACUUUCCAAUUGGUUAUGAUUUGCUGUUAUAAUUUUUAUUUUAGUUAAACUAUUUAAUAUUUAAGUACUGAUUUUUGUUAUUUUGAAUUUUUUAUAUGAUUUUGAUGUUUAAUGAUAACUUUUUCGUAUGAUUAAAUAGAAUGGCUAUCUGUUUAUUUAUAUUAUAAGAUAAAAAUGAAUGAAAAUAUUAAUCAGUUACAUACAUAUAUAUAUAUAUAUGUAGAUAUAUAUUUAUAGACGUUUCUAAAACGUUUCCAAAGCAAAAAAAAAUCAAAAAUCACGUUUUCACGUUUCAAAACGUUUCGUUUCCGCGUAUCCGUUUCCGUUUCCAUGCAACCUAGCGGAGAACAAAUCAUUACAAAAAUAAUAAGAGAGGCUUACAAAAACGUUCAGAAGCUUACAUCAAAAUAGAAAAUCAUCAAGGUGGCCUUGUACAUGAGAGGAAGAACUGGAGAAGAGAUGGUUGGAGCCGAGGUUCUGGUGGAGUGGAGAGCAUGCACUCCCUGAUUUGAAUAUCCAUAGUAGCUAGAAUGGUUUAAGAAGGAGAUCACUUUGCGGUGAAGAUUCUAGUGUUCCUUUUUCCUUCCAUGUGAAGUAGAUGGUG